AACGCGUGAGCAACCUGCCCAUAUCAGGGGGAUAGCCCGGAGAAAUCCGGAUUAACACCGCAUGACACUGCUUUCCGGCAUCGGGAGGUAGUCAAAUAUUCAUAGGAUAUGGAUGGGCUCGCGUGACAUUAGCUAGUUGGUGGGGUAACGGCCCACCAAGGCGACGAUGUCUAGGGGCUCUGAGAGGAGAAUCCCCCACACUGGUACUGAGACACGGACCAGACUCCUACGGGAGGCAGCAGUGAGGAAUAUUGGACAAUGGGUGAGAGCCUGAUCCAGCCAUCCCGCGUGAAGGACGACUGCCCUAUGGGUUGUAAGCUUCUUUUAUACUGGGAUAAACCUACCCUCGUGAGGGUAGCUGAAGGUACAGUAUGAAUAAGCACCGGCUAACUCCGUGCCAGCAGCCGCGGUAAUACGGAGGGUGCAAGCGUUAUCCGGAUUUAUUGGGUUUAAAGGGUCCGUAGGCGGACUCGUAAGUCAGUGGUGAAAUCUCAUAGCUUAACUAUGAAACUGCCAUUGAUACUGCGGGUCUUGAGUAAAGUAGAAGUGGCUGGAAUAAGUAGUGUAGCGGUGAAAUGCAUAGAUAUUACUUAG
This 594-nucleotide ribosomal RNA is filed under the name uncultured bacterium. Its description in RNAcentral is "bacterial SSU rRNA". It matches the Rfam family "Bacterial small subunit ribosomal RNA", at positions 112 to 704 of the family's 1533-position model. The record is from RNAcentral.